This 350-nucleotide ribosomal RNA is filed under the name uncultured eukaryote. RNAcentral's name for it is "SSU rRNA". It matches the Rfam family "Eukaryotic small subunit ribosomal RNA", at positions 567 to 919 of the family's 1831-position model. The record is from RNAcentral.
CCAGCAGCUGCGGUAAUUCCAGCUCCACUAGCGUAUAUUAAAGUUGUUGCAGUUAAAAAGCUCGUAGUUGAACUUCUGGCCGCGCACGGCGUCGGAACUCGUUUCCGCGCCGGCUUUGCAUCGGCGCGGCCAUCCGUCUGCGAACUGCGGCGGCCUUCACUGGCUCUGCCGCAGGGAACAGACCCUUUACUUUGAAAAAAUUAGAGUGUUUAAGGCAGGCUCCGCGCCUGAAUACAUUAGCAUGGAAUAAUGGAAUAGGACGCUUGUCCGUUUGAUUGGUUUGCGGACUGGCGUAAUGAUUAAUAGGGACAGUUGGGGGCAUUAGUAUUUAAUUGUCAGAGGUGAAAUUC